GAUGAAGAACGUAGCGAAAUGCGAUAAGUAAUGUGAAUUGCAGAAUUCAGUGAAUCAUCGAAUCUUUGAACGCACAUUGCGCCCGUCAGUAUUCUGGCGGGCAUGCCUGUUCGAGCGUCAUUACGCCCCUCAAGUCCCCUGUGGACUUGGUGUUGGGGAUCGGCGAGGCUGGUUUUCCAGCACAGCCGUCCCUUAAAUUAAUUGGCGGUCUCGCCGUGGCCCUCCUCUGCGCAGUAGUAAAACACUCGCAACAGGAGCCCGGCGCGGUCUACUGCCGUAAAACCCCCCAACUUUUUAUAGUUGACCUCGAAUCAGGUAGGACUACCCGCUGAACUUAAGCAUAUCAAUAAGCGGAGGA
Molecule: unclassified non-coding RNA, 358 nt
Filed under: soil metagenome
Description: partial contains 5.8S ribosomal RNA, internal transcribed spacer 2, and large subunit ribosomal RNA
Rfam family: 5.8S ribosomal RNA (bases 1-120)
Source: RNAcentral